GGGUCAGGAGAAGCAGACUGCUGAACUCGUCGUGGUUUUACUGCUGAUUUCAUACUUUCCGUGGUACUGCGGUUUGUUGAACUUGAACCACAACUUUCAUGGUCUUCCUGCUGAGCUCCAUCCUUUAAUUUCAAGAUGCAUUCCAUUGUAUUGAUAGUGAUGACAACUGGUUCUGAUCCUAAUUUUGUCCAUGGCACGUGAAUCCGAAGCUCAUGAAUAUGCCCACUCAAAAAAGUAAAUGGUAGUUUCAGCUCCUGCUCGAGCACAUCCAGCUUUAACUCAAGUUUACUGAGAACGACAUCCCCUCCC
This 309-nucleotide long non-coding RNA is filed under the name Gallus gallus (chicken). Lineage: Eukaryota; Metazoa; Chordata; Aves; Galliformes; Phasianidae. The record is from RNAcentral.